Molecule: long non-coding RNA, 8032 nt
Filed under: Phoenix dactylifera (date palm)
Lineage: Eukaryota; Viridiplantae; Streptophyta; Magnoliopsida; Arecales; Arecaceae
Description: long non-coding RNA (PDAC_LNC008120)
Source: RNAcentral
GUGCAAUGCAACUCAAUAUACCACUGAAAAGGCUCUACAAGUCUUUGAAAUACAGAAAAUGAAAUCAAUUUACAAAAGAAGUCAUUUCACCACUCGGAACCAAUUUGACUACUCUUUUACCCCUUGUAAUUCCUCUCAAUGUUCCCUCAAAUGCAUGUACAAAAUAAUCAAGCAUGGAGAAACAAGAUUAUAGAGGAAUCUACUACAAUAUCAAUCAAUAUGCUCAAUUGGAAUCAAUUCACACUUGGCGACAUUCAUGAAAAUGAAUUAAGAAUGCUCAUCGUGCAAGGUACAUAACUCCUACUCACCUGCCAAUCCUGCACGGUCCUGAUACACCUCCAAAAUCCACAGUAGGCAGUGGGGAACUUUUUUCUCUUGUUUCCUAGCUUCUUGCCCAACUGUGACAUGCAUUAAUUAUACAUGCAGUCUUAUAUCAAGGACUCAUAAUCUAUGUAUCAAUCAUAAGCAUAGAAACUUUAAUUGACUCAACUCCCCCUUCUCUAAAUCUUUUUUUUCUAUUAAUUAACUCACCAUUUAUGUGUAUUAGGGACUCCCUUGCAUGAGUACAAGGUCCCCCUUAGCCUAAUCUAGGCUUAAUACCCUAUUAUGGCAUGAAAUUCUUUAUUUCCCACCCGGAUGAACAGUAAUCCGGACCGACAGCUGGUUACUUCAUCCCGAGAUUGAUCUACUUUCCGAACUCCAAACUCUAUAAAAUUUAUACCUAAUAUUCUACACUUAUAGUGGUUUCCAGAAUGGUGACAUGCAUCACCAUCGGAGGCCGAUUGAUCUUCGAAACAAUUCACUGAAUUCAGGACUUCGACAGAGGUUUUCCGCAAUCUCGAAAAACCUUGCCGAAAUCCGAUUCUCUCUCUCUUAACCACCUCUAAAACCCCUAUCUAACCUCUUUACAGCCUCAAUUCCAUUAGGGGACUAGGUAGGGAUGGGGUACUUACCACUUUUUUUUCUCUCAUCUUCCCUUCUUCUUCUUCUUCUUCUUCUUCUUCUUCUUCUUCUUUUAUUUCCCCUUCUUUUUCUUCUUCUUCUUCGCCGCCUGAGACCUCCUCUUCUUCUUUUCUCUGUGUCUCCCUCUCUGUUUAAUCCCACCGCCACAGCAUCCCAAACCCCCCAUUUAAAUCACAUCAAGCAUUGUUCACCCUUUGUUUAAAAUUAUUAAAUUUCCAUUUUGCCCCUAACACUUCAACGUAUCUAUUGUUAUGCCAUUAACUUUUGAUUCCUUCCAAUUUUACCCCGUAUAUCAAUUUUAAGGACUAUUCUAUCCUUCUUUAUAUAGAAAAAAAAAUAUUUUGGGGUUAUUACAUCCUCCCCCCCUUAUAUAAAAUUCAUUCUCGAAUUUAAAAGAGUAAAUUACCUGAUCAUUCAAAGAGAUGAGGGUAUUUGCUCUUCAUACUUUGCUCCAAUUUUCAAGUGCAUUCUUCAACAUUGUGCCGGUGCCAUUGGACCUUCACCAUAUAUAUUUUCUUAUUUCUCAGCUUCCUGAUCUGAGUAUCAAGGAUAGCUAUAGGAAGCUUUUCAUAAUAAAGGUCUCCCUCUACUAUAAUUUCAUGUACUGGUAGCACAUGGGAUGGAUCCGGCACAUAUUUCCGGAGCAUAGAUAUAUGGAAUACUGGAUGCAUAUGGCUGAGGUUUGGAGGCAGUGCUAAUCUGUAAGAUACAUUGCCAACCUUGUCUCAAAGAGGCCAAUGUAUCGGGGACUAAGCUUGCCCCUCUUUCCAAACCUCAUUACUCCUUUCAUAGGAGAGAUCUUUAAGAAAACAUGAUCCCCCAUGCCAAACUGCACAUCUCUCCUUCUGACAUCUGCGUAGCUCUUCUACCUACUAAACGCUGUCCUCAACCUUUUCUGUAUUACUGAUACCUUUUCUGAUUUCUCUCUAAUCAAAUAUGGCCCUUCUAGGUGCUUCUCUCCAAUCUCAGAUCAGCACAAGGAAGAUCUACAUUUCCUCCCAUAAAGCGUCUCAUAAGGUGCCAUACCAAUAGUGGAGUGAUAGCUAUUAUUAUAUGCAAACUCCACUAAAGGUAAGUAUCUGUCCCAGCUACCUCUGAAAUCCAGUACACACAUUCUGAGCAUAUCCUCGAGGGUUUGAAUGGUCCUCUCUGAUUGCCUAUAUGUCUGAGGGUGAAAUGUUGUACUGAAAUCAAGCUGAGUUCCUAAUGCCUCAUGGAGUUUCUGCCAAAACCUAGAGGUAAACUGUGAACCUCUAUCUGAUAUAAUAGAAACUGGUACCCCAUGUAAAGACACUACCUUAUCCACAUAUAUCUCAGCAUACUGAGCUACUGAAUAUGUGGUUUUCACCAGUAAGAAAUGGGCUGAUUUUGUCAAUCUAUCUACAAUCACCCAGAUGGAAUCAUAUCCUUUCUGUGUUCUGGGCAGUCCAACCACAAAAUCCAUAGUUAUCCUUUCCCAUUUCCACUCGGGCAAAGGUAACUCUUGCAACAGUUCUGUUGGCUUAUGAUGUUCAAAUUUCACCUGUUGAUAAGUCAAACAAGAAGCCACAUACUUGGCCACAUCCCUUUUUAAUCCGUUCCACCAAUAUAUGCUUUUGAUAUCAUGAUACAUCUUGGUGGAACCAGGAUGAAUGCUAUAGGGAGUGUUGUGUGCUUCAUGCAUAAUCUUCUAUUUCAGAUCUCCCACAUUUGGCACACAAAAGCUACUGCCACACCUCAAUAUCUCAUCUACUAUCUGAAACCUUUCUGACUGUCCUGAUUGCGCUUCUCCUUUCAGUUUCACAAGGACUGGAUCUAAAUCCUGUGAAACCUUGAUUUCAUCUAUUAACCUCGGUUUCACCUGAAAUUGUGCAAUUAAAGGACGAACCUCUGAUACCUCAAAAGAUAGUCUCUGACCAAAUAAAUCUGCCAGAUCUCUGACUAUCUCUCUCCUCUGGACGGAGAUGUGAGAUAAACUGCCCAUUGACUUCCGGCUUAAUGCAUCUGCUACUACAUUAGCCUUGCCCGGAUGAUACAGGAUUUGGCAGUCAUAAUCCUUCAACAACUCUAUCCAUCUCCUCUGUCUGAGAUUCAAAUCUCUUUGCUGCUGAAUGUACUGGAGGCUUUUGUGAUCAGUAUAUGUUUCACAUUUCUCACCAUAUAAAUAAUGCCUCCAUAUCUUUAAUACAAAUAUGACAGCAGCCAUUUCCAAGUCAUGAGUGGGAUAGUUUACCUCAUGCUUUCUCAGCUGUCUAGAUGCAUAUGCAAUCACCUUGCCAUUCUGUAUUAACAUACAUCCCAAUCCCACUCUGAAAGCAUCACAGUAAACUACAAACCCGCCUGUAUCUGUGGGUAGAGUCAAAACUAGAGCUGAUGUGAGGCAAUCCUUUAGCUUCUGGAAGCUCUGUUCACAAGAAUCUGUCCAAGUGAACUUAACCUGCUUCCGAGUCAGCUUUGUUAAUGGGGUAGCUAUUUUUGAAAAGUCCUUUACAAACUUUCUAUAGUACCCAGCCAGACCUAGAAAACUUCUGAUUUCUAUUAUAUUUGUAGGUCUCGGCCAAUCCAUAACUGCCUCAACCUUCUUGGGAUCCACCCUGAUUCCUUCCUUGCAUAUUAUGUGUCCCAAGAAUCCAGCUUCCUAUAGCCAGAACUCACAUUUGGUAAGUUUGGCAUACAGUUCAUGUUCUCUCAAGGUUUGUAGUGCUAUCCUCAAAUGCUCUUCAUGAUAAGCCUGACUCUUAGAGUAUAUGAGGAUGUCAUCUAUAAAGACUAUCACAAACCUGUCAAGAUAGGUUUGAAAACCCUAUUCAUCAAAUCCAUGAAUGUUGUUGGAGCAUUUGUCAGCCCAAAUGGAAGCACUAGAAACUCAUAGUGCCCAUAUCUCGUUCUGAAUGCAAUCUUCAGUACAUAUUCCUUUCUGAUUUUCAACUGAUGAUACCCAGACUGCAGAUCAAUCUUCGAGAAGUACUCAGCUCCCUGCAAUUGAUCAAACAAGUCAUCUAUUCUGGGAAGUGGGUAUCUAUUUUUGAUGGUCACUUUAUUCAACUGUCUAUAAUCUAUACACAGUCUUAGUGACCCAUCCUUCUUCUUCACAAACAAAAUUGGGGCACCCCACGGUGAAGUAUUGGGCCUAAUAAAUCCCUUGUCUAGCAGAUCUUGCAAUUGCACCUUCAGCUCUCUCAGUUCUGUGGGUGCCAUACGAUAGGGAGCAAUUGAUAUGGGGUUUGUACCAGGAAGAAGUUCAAUACUGAACUCAAUCUCUCUAUCAGGUGGCAAUCCUGGUAAUUCUCCCAAAAAUACAUCUAGAUACUCCCUAACAACAGGAAUCUGCUGCAGAUCCACAGACUCUACCUGGAUGUCCAUCACAUAAGCUAGAUAGCCUUGACACCCCUUUCUCAGCAGCCUUUUUGCUUCCAUUACAGUCACCAAAUUCAUUGGGACUUCACUCCUCUCCCCUUGAUAUGCAAACUCACCCCCAUCUACAGGCCUAAAGAUAACAUUCUUUUCUUGGCAGUUAAUGGUGGCACGAUUGUUUGACAACCAAUUCAUGCCCAAAAUGACAUCAAAGUCUAACACUGCCAACUCAAUCAAAUCGACUGGGAGUGUUUUACCCUCUAUCUCUACCACACAGGUAGGAUAUAAAUAUCUCACUUCUAUACUGUCCCCUACAGGAGUACUAAUAGCUAAGGGAAUGUGCAUCAGUAUCUUAUCCUUAGCUAACUUUUUAGCAAAAUAAAGGGAUACAAAGGAAUGGCUAGCUUCAGAAUCAAACAGUACUCUAGCUUUAAUCUUAUCAAUAAGGAGCAUACCUGUUACCGCUGCAUUCGAUGCUUGUGCCUCUUGCGGAUUAACUGUGAACACCCUUCAUUGUCCUCUGCCUAUGGGAGCUGACAGCUGAGAUGGUCUGGCACUCUGUUGCGAUGCUUGUGUCUGACCUCUGCCUCUGCCUACAGGCCCCCUACUACUAGGCCUGUCCAUCUGCACAGAAGGGUAGGAUGCAGAAGGUAUAAACUGCUGGGUGGCAUCCUGAGGGCAUUCUCUGGCAAAAUGACCCGGCUGUCCACAUCUGUAGCACACUCCCUGACCCAUUCUGCAUCUGCCAGGGUGCUUCUUUCCACAUGUGUCACACACUGGCCAUGACUGAAACCUUGGUUCAGUCCUGGUCAUGGCAACUGGAGGACGAGUUGCUGAUGGUAGAAAAGCAUCCUAUGACUGACCUCUUCUCCUCCACUUCCUCUUACGUGGGGCAGGUGGAGCUGAGCGUAUAGACUGCUCUAUCAGGCCCUCCGAGAGAUCUGCUCCCUUAGAUCUACCUCUGCUGCUUUGCCCUUUCCCCACACUCAUUUUUCUCUGUUCUCUUUCAGCUCUUUCCUCUUUGCUUCUGGUCUCCCACUGUUUUGCUUUAUCAAUAAGCUUGGACAAAGUGGAGAUCUCUACUGCCAGCACUGCAUUAUAAUGCGGGAAAAUCAAACCCCGCCUGAAUCUUUCUAUCCUGGCAGCUCCAGUGGGGAUAAUGUAAGGAGCAUACCUCCCUAAUCUGGUAAACUCACGAGCGUACUCAGCUACGCUCAUUCCGGGCGUCUGCUUCAGCCUCUCUAACUGAAGAGCCCGAUUCUGCCUCUCCGCUGGAGAUAAGAACUCAUCUAUUACUGCUUGCCCAAACUCUUCCCAGGUUGGAGGAUUCCUACUGCACAAUCUAUCCUCCACGUGCCUCUGGUACCAGUCGCAGACAUCUUCUUUCAUAGUGAGCCCUACAAUCUCUAUGGCCCUUGCAUCAGAACAAGACAAUCUUCGAAUCAUCUUCUCCGUUUCCUCCAGGAAUCUCUGAGGAUCCUCACCUUCUUCCCCCUUAAACUCCGGGGAUUCUGAGCCUCAGAAAGUCCUAUACAGAAAUCCCCUCAUCAUCCAGAGCCCGCCUGGCCAUACUUCUCGGCACAGGUACAGGAGGUGGGAUAGAUGCCGCUGACGGGGCAGGAGGCUUUCCUCGAGCAAUCUGCUCUCUUAAAGCCUGAUUAUCUGCCAAAAGUUGUUCUACCAGUGGAUCUCUACUUCCUACCUCCUCUUGAUCAUCAACUCUCCGCCUGUCUGCAGGAGAAGAUUUUUCUCUUUGGGGCUCGACAUGUGUGGAACCCGCAUCCAAUACUAUAUCUGGCUCCAUCCUCUUUCCAGGACGAGCAGGUCCUCUUCUUGGAGGUAUUCUUUAUAUGACUCUAAAAAGGUCAAAGAGAGAGGGUAGUCGUUACACACUAAGCCAUAAUAUAUUUUACUGAAUUGUAAAUGACUCAUAAAAUAACAUACAGAAAAACCCUAUGCUCCAUAGUAUAAUCCUAUACUUAAUCCUGACUCACUCUAUUGCUCUGACAGGACUCUUCUUAACCUUUGCUCUGAUACCAAACUUUGUCACGACCCCCACCCUGCUUCCGGCGGGCGGUCGCGAUGGUCCUAGGGUGCGGGUAGGCAUAAGGCCACCAGCCACCACGUAGAACCCUACUAACAUAACACAAACAUCCUUAAACCUCCGAAACAUUUUGGCAUGAUAUAUGCACAAAAUGAGCACUUUUGAUCUAUGUUAACUGUUAGGAUAUAUCAAAACAUACAACCACUCUACCUGUCAGAGCAGCAAUCAUAUAACCUGUCACAUAAUAAACCUGGACAAUAUAUAGCAAUACAUUAUCACAAGCACACAAUUGAUCUGUACAAAACCUGGUUCCCAAUCCAUCCAUAGCCGACCCAUAUCUACAACAGGAUCUAUGUCUAUAACUGUACACUAUAUACAACUGAAAGGUUUAUAAUACACCAAAAAAAAUAUAGAAACCUCUAUUCUACAUUAUACUAUGGAGCAGCACAGCUAGCAGGCAACCUCUAGUCCUACACCUCUCUAUAUGGCACCUGCCCUGCAAUAAGGAUAUCAACUGGGGAGUGAGUAUAUGAAUACUCAGUGAGUGGAGUAGAGAGUACUAUGCACAUGAGACAAGAUAUAAUUAUGGCUCGAGGUGAAAUCUCAAGAGCAUAUGAGCAAUCAUCGAUAACAAGGUGUAUAAAACUCAACAUAAGAAAUAUGGAGUAAAUCAUUACAGGAUUACCACAAUCACAAUUAACUCAUCUGAAGCAUAUAUAGAAUAAUCAAAUAAACAUGAAUGAUACAUCAUGAAUAUGCUCAACAGAUUAUAACACUGAAAUAUGCAAAUCAGGGUGUCAAUACGCGAAGUCAUCACUAGACAGUUGUCGGAAGGUGAGUCUUACGCCCUAGGUGAACUACAACAACUCCUUACUGUCACAUGCAUAUGCAGGAUAAGACAUCAUACUGAUAAUGUAAAUGCUGGCCAGUUUCCAAAACAGAAAUCCAUAGAAACAUCUCACAUCUGCAUACUAAACGGCACCUCGCGGGGUCUUACUUUGCCUGGCGGCAAGCCAUACUACACCUUGCGAGGUCUUACUAUGCCCGACGGCAAGCAGAUAUAAGUCGCAGGACCGGCCGAUCCUACGCCUAGGGCGUAUUCCCCGUAGAAAGGGACUGGGCUAUGUCCACUUAGGGGAUAACUAUGUGCACAUAGGCCGAUGUCUAACCCCAUCAACUAUAGGUGUCCUAUAGAUAUGCCAAGCUAUGCAUAAAUGACAUAAUGCACCUUCCCAAUACUCAACUAUAAAGGAGUAUAAUCAAGACUACCACUCACUCGACCACGAUCCAAUCAUAAACUAACAUCAGGAUUGGAAGCAAGGAGUUAAGGGAGUGCAAUGCAACUCAAUAUACCACUGAAAAGGCUCUACAAGUCUUUGAAAUAGAGAAAAUAAAAUCAAUUUACAAAAGAAGUCAUUUCACAACUCGGAACCAAUUUGACUACUCUUUUACUCCUUGUAAUUCCUCUCAAUGUUUCCUCAAAUGCAUGUACAAAAUAAUCAAGUAUGGAGAAAUAAGAUUAUAGAGGAAUCUACCACAAUAUCAAUCAAUAUGCUCAAAGGGAAUCAAUUCACACUUGGCGACAUUCAUAAAAAUGAAUUAAGAAUGCUCAUCGUGCAAGGUACAUAACUCCCACUCACCUGCCAAUCCGGCACGGUCCUGAUACACCUCUAAAAUCUACAGUAGGCAGUG